This 251-nucleotide ribosomal RNA is filed under the name uncultured archaeon. Its description in RNAcentral is "partial 16S ribosomal RNA". It matches the Rfam family "Archaeal small subunit ribosomal RNA", at positions 731 to 982 of the family's 1478-position model. The record is from RNAcentral.
AGAUACCCGGGUAGUCCCAGCCGUAAACUAUGCGCGUUAGGUGUAUCGGUGACCACGAGUUACCGAGGUGCCGAAGGGAAACCGUGAAACGUGCCGCCUGGGAAGUACGGUCGCAAGGCUGAAACUUAAAGGAAUUGGCGGGGAGCACCACAACAGGUGGAGCCUGCGGUUUAAUUGGACUCAACGCCGGGAAGCUCACCGGAUAGGACAGCAGAAUGAUUGCCGGGCUGAAGACCCUGCAUGACUAGCUG